CCUACGGGUGGCAGCAGUGGGGAAUAUUGCACAAUGGGGGAAACUCUGAUGCAGCGACGCCGCGUGAAGGAUGAAGUAUCUCGGUAUGUAAACUUCUAUUUGCAGGGAAGAAAAUGACGGUACCUGACUAAGAAGCCCCGGCUAACUACGUGCCAGCAGCCGCGGUAAUACGUAGGGGGCAAGCGUUAUCCGGAUUUACUGGGUGUAAGGGGAGCGUAGGCGGCAUGGCAAGUCAGAUGUGAAAACCCGAGGCUCAACCCCGGGACUGCAUUGGAAACUGUCAGGCUAGAGUGUCGGAGAGGCAAGUGGAAUGCCUGGUGUAGCGGUGAAAUGCGUAGAGAUUAUGAAGAACACCAGUGGCGAAGGCAGCUUGCUGAACUAUUACUGACGUUGAGGCACGAAAGCGUGGGGAGCAAACAGGAUUAGAUACCCUAGUAGUC
This 440-nucleotide ribosomal RNA is filed under the name uncultured bacterium. RNAcentral describes it as "partial 16S ribosomal RNA". It matches the Rfam family "Bacterial small subunit ribosomal RNA", at positions 338 to 795 of the family's 1533-position model. The record is from RNAcentral.